This 90-nucleotide transfer RNA is filed under the name Candidatus Saccharimonadota bacterium. RNAcentral describes it as "tRNA-Ser". It matches the Rfam family "tRNA". Rfam says of the family: Transfer RNA (tRNA) molecules are approximately 80 nucleotides in length. Their secondary structure includes four short double-helical elements and three loops (D, anti-codon, and T loops). Further hydrogen bonds mediate the characteristic L-shaped molecular structure. tRNAs have two regions of fundamental functional importance: the anti-codon, which is responsible for specific mRNA codon recognition, and the 3' end, to which the tRNAs corresponding amino acid is attached (by aminoacyl-tRNA synthetases). tRNAs cope with the degeneracy of the genetic code in two manners: having more than one tRNA (with a specific anti-codon) for a particular amino acid; and 'wobble' base-pairing, i.e. permitting non-standard base-pairing at the 3rd anti-codon position. The record is from RNAcentral. Lineage: Bacteria; Candidatus Saccharimonadota.
GGAGAGGUGGCCGAGUGGUUGAAGGCGCACGCUUGGAAAGCGUGUGUGCAGGCAACUGUACCGUGAGUUCGAAUCUCAUCCUCUCCGCCA